RNAcentral lists this ribosomal RNA (496 nucleotides) under uncultured bacterium. RNAcentral describes it as "partial 16S ribosomal RNA". It matches the Rfam family "Bacterial small subunit ribosomal RNA", at positions 28 to 506 of the family's 1533-position model. The record is from RNAcentral.
GAUGAACGCUGGCGGCGUGCCUAAUACAUGCAAGUCGAGCGAACGGACGAGAAGCUUGCUUCUCUGAUGUUAGCGGCGGACGGGUGAGUAACACGUGGAUAACCUACCUAUAAGACUGGGAUAACUUCGGGAAACCGGAGCUAAUACCGGAUGAUAUUUUGAACCGCAUGGUUCAAAAGUGAAAGACGGCCUUGCUGUCACUUAUAGAUGGAUCCGCGCUGCAUUAGCUAGUUGGUAAGGUAACGGCUUUCCAAGGCAACGAUGCAUAGCCGACCUGAGAGGGUGAUCGGCCACACUGGAACUGAGACACGGUCCAGACUCCUACGGGAGGCAGCAGUAGGGAAUCUUCCGCAAUGGGCGAAAGCCUGACGGAGCAACGCCGCGUGAGUGAUGAAGGUCUUCGGAUCGUAAAACUCUGUUAUUAGGGAAGAACAUAUGUGUAAGUAACUGUGCACAUCUUGACGGUACCUAAGCAGAAAGCCACGGCUAACUACGU